RNAcentral lists this ribosomal RNA (460 nucleotides) under uncultured bacterium. RNAcentral describes it as "partial 16S ribosomal RNA". It matches the Rfam family "Bacterial small subunit ribosomal RNA", at positions 338 to 795 of the family's 1533-position model. The record is from RNAcentral.
CCUACGGGAGGCAGCAGUGAGGAAUAUUGGUCAAUGGACGAGAGUCUGAACCAGCCAAGUAGCGUGAAGGAUGACUGCCCUAUGGGUUGUAAACUUCUUUUAUAUGGGAAUAAAACGUUCCACGUGUGGGAUUUUGUAUGUACCAUAUGAAUAAGGAUCGGCUAACUCCGUGCCAGCAGCCGCGGUAAUACGGAGGAUCCGAGCGUUAUCCGGAUUGAUUGGGUUUAAAGGGGGCGUAGGUGGAUUGUUAAGUCAGUUGUGAAAGUUUGCGGCUCAACCGUAAAAUUGCAGUUGAAACUGGCAGUCUUGAGUACAGUAGAGGUGGGCGGAAUUCGUGGUGUAGCGGUGAAAUGCUUAGAUAUCACGAAGAACUCCGAUUGCGAAGGCAGCUCACUGGACUGCAACUGACACUGAGGCUCGAAAGUGUGGGUAUCAAACAGGAUUAGAUACCCGUGUAGUC